This 376-nucleotide ribosomal RNA is filed under the name uncultured Pseudomonas sp. RNAcentral describes it as "bacterial SSU rRNA". It matches the Rfam family "Bacterial small subunit ribosomal RNA", at positions 1006 to 1382 of the family's 1533-position model. The record is from RNAcentral. Lineage: Bacteria; Pseudomonadati; Pseudomonadota; Gammaproteobacteria; Pseudomonadales; Pseudomonadaceae.
GGACCUUUCCUUCGGGAGAGGAGCGUACACAGGUGCUGCACGGCUGUCGUCAGCUCGUGUCGUGAGAUGUUGGGUUAAGUCCCGUAACGAGCGCAACCCUUGUCCUUAGUUACCAGCACGUUAUGGUGGGCACUCUAAGGAGACUGCCGGUGACAACCGGAGGAAGGUGGGGAUGACGUCAAGUCAUCAUGGCCCUUACGGCCUGGGCUACACACGUGCUACAAUGGUCGGUACAAAGGGUUGCCAAGCCGCGAGGUGGAGCUAAUCCCAUAAAACCGAUCGUAGUCCGGAUCGCAGUCUGCAACUCGACUGCGUGAAGUCGGAAUCGCUAGUAAUCGUGAAUCAGAAUGUCACGGUGAAUACGUUCCCGGGCCUU